Alexandromys fortis (reed vole) is the source of this 2736-nucleotide long non-coding RNA. RefSeq lists it as uncharacterized. Lineage: Eukaryota; Metazoa; Chordata; Mammalia; Rodentia; Cricetidae. The transcript has 3 exons. The record is from RefSeq and is a predicted model, not a curated record.
GUCACCGUUAUUCUCUUUAUAGUUCCAUUUCCUCUCUGCCUGUGGUUUAUUCACUAAUGCAACUGUACCAUGGGAGUGUGUGCACACAGGGAAACGUGGAGUGUAGACAGGGUCAGUGUCCUGCUGUAUUUGGUCUCCACAGGGGUCUCUUCCCGUGGAGGAGGGGGUCUACUGUGCUGAGACAAUGACCCAGGUCCACACGGACAGUCUCAGGACUAUGGAAUGAAGAUCUGUGUAAAACACAAGCACAGGGGCUGCGGAGAUGGCUCAGAGGUAACCUGGCUCCCUUCACUGACACAAAGGUUACCACAUGCAGUGAUGAUGCCACAGAUGACAGGAUGUGAUCUUUACGGACAGCGCCCUCUGGUGGGACAUUCCACACUCUCUGUCCAUGCAUUAAGUGACUGAUGACUUUGCACAGGGAGGAACAUAUAACCUGCCCCAACUCCUGUUUAGAGAGCUCUCUCCAUCAUGGGGUCUACACAGUCCCAAUGUGAGAUCCGCAGAGUCUUACAUUCCAUGAAUGACAGCCUUAAAGAGGAUUUCCCACUGACUAUGGAGUAGAGACUCUGUUGAAUUGGUUGGACUUCCUGUGUUAAUGGAGACUGCUUGUUCAUUUCCCAGCUGCCCAGAAAUCUGUAUUAAUUGCAAUACUGUUUGGCCACUAGCUUAAGUGUAUUUCUAAUUAGCUCUUACAUUAUAAAUCAACCCAUACUCUAUGAGGCCAUGCCCCAGUAGGUGGGUAAACCUUCCUGCAGCAAGAUGGUCCUCCAGUUACCCCACAAGGUCAGUCUGUCACUCAUGGUGCUCACAGAGCUCCCCUCAUAGAAGCCAGAGGAAAGGAAAAGAGCCACUGAUGGAAGGGAACUGAAGAUGAGCAGGGCUGGCUGGAUACCACAGAUAGGCAAGGUGUGGGGCACACUCCUUCAUCCCAGCAUGCAGGAGGCAGAGGCAGAUGAAUCUGAAUUCCAAGCCAGAUGGUCUACAGAGUGAGUUCCAGGACAGAGAGGGCUACUCAGAGAAACCUUGUGUCUAAAAAAGGAAAGACAGAAACAAAAGUAACAGUUCUGCCACUGACUGCUCCUCCUCCAGUCUGGCAAUCUCAUGAAGCAACCUGUGUGGGAAAGAAGUGCCCACAAGCAUUGUGGCAGACAUGGAUGGUCCCGAGGCUGCUAACCCUGACCCAACAUGUUAGCAAAGCCUGUCUGCAAUGUGCGUGGAACCACCUGAAGCAGGCACCCAAGGAUGCCACAAUGACGCAGACACAAGGUCCUACAUGUCUUAACAUUUUGGGGUUGACUUCACUGAAAUUCAUCCCAGCAGAGGGCACCCGUACCCCUGGUUAUGGUGUGCACUUUCCCACGCUGGGGAGGAGCCUUUCCUACACUCUCUACACUUUAUGCACAUGGUUCCACCCCCGAUCACCAGGCUGUGUUGAGAGAAUCAGGAGAACUUUGAAAAUGGCACUACUAAACGCAGACAAAGAACAGACCUCCCCUGGCCAGAAUCUCUGUCUAGGGUGCACUGCACACCUUGUAAAUGUGUUUACUCUUUUUUCAAGAUCACGUUUGGCCACACACUACCCCUGUCCCCAGAGGAUUCAAACAACCUCUGAGAGUAUGGGGCACACCCAUGUCCACAUCUUCCUGAGAGAUUUGACUGAACAGAAAGGCCCAUCCCACAGUUCUUAAAGUUGUAUUUGCCAGUCACCAGAUACAGCACAACCUCGCCACGGCUGCUGAGGACUUGAGUCAGGAAUGAGCCACACAGACCAGUUUCUGAGAUGACCCGGCUCAAAAUGACCUCCAGAUGGAGACGACAGCUUAGUCCUGCUCUGCCCCUGCUGUCUUCCCGUCCUAGGGACAGGAUCCGUGCAGUCCUCCCUCGGCCUCUCUCCUCCUGUCACAUAGGUCAGUCUGGAGAGCAACCUUGUCCAGAGCAACUCCAGUUCCUAGGCGCCAUCAGUGGAUCUAACUGUCCCCAGAGCUCUGCCUCCUCUCCUUCAGAUGGGGCUUCUACUGAGGAACAGGCCGGUCAUGGAUCAUCCCUCUGACCUCAUUACUCUGUGGUGGAACUGUCACUGGCCAUUGAUCCCAGGUGCCAUUGUCUCAUCAGGAUCAGCCGUCACCAUCAACACUGGUGCAGCAUCCACUACCUGGAGCCCAUGGGCCUCCAUAGUGCUCACGGUGAGACUCCUGCUUCCCAACCACUGGGAUCAGCUUUAGAAAGGACUAGUGUUGGUGUCCUGGACCCUUGGGCACCUGGCACAGCCAUCCUCUGCUUAUGCUGCUGCACCAUCCAGCCCAGAGGGCGCCUGAACUGGUCUUGUCCCAUAUCCACAUUGAUGAUUAUCUCAAAUAUCGCCAUAGAAGCUUCAUCCAAUGAUGGAUGGAGAUAGAGACAGAGACCCACAUCAAAGCAAUGAACUGAGCUCCCAAGGUCCAGUUGAAGAGAAGAAGGAGGCAGAAGAUGAGCAAGGAAGUCAGGACCGCGAGGGGUUGGUCCACCCACUGAGACAGUGUGCCUGAGCUAAUGGGAGCUCACUAAAUCCAGCUGGACUGAAUGAGCAGGGGAUCAAACUCGACUCACUGAAUGUGGCUGACAAUGGGGGCGAACUGAGAAGCCAUUGAUAAUGGUACUGGAACCUGUUUCUACUGAAUAUACUGGCUUUUGGGGGACCCCAAUCUAUUUGGAUGCACACCUUCCUAGGCCUGGAUGGAGUGGGAAGGCCUUAGA